AUUGGAGCAGUAGUUGGUGUUGUUGUUCUUCUACUAUUGUUA
This 42-nucleotide small RNA is filed under the name Arabidopsis thaliana (thale cress). Its description in RNAcentral is "ATSL294750". The record is from RNAcentral. Lineage: Eukaryota; Viridiplantae; Streptophyta; Magnoliopsida; Brassicales; Brassicaceae.